GCGGGUAUAGUAUAUCGGUAUUAUGCUACCUUCCCAAGGUAGAGAGACGGGUUCGACUCCCGUUACCCGCU
This 71-nucleotide transfer RNA is filed under the name Candidatus Beckwithbacteria bacterium. RNAcentral's name for it is "tRNA-Gly". It matches the Rfam family "tRNA". From Rfam's summary of the family: Transfer RNA (tRNA) molecules are approximately 80 nucleotides in length. Their secondary structure includes four short double-helical elements and three loops (D, anti-codon, and T loops). The record is from RNAcentral. Lineage: Bacteria; Candidatus Beckwithiibacteriota.